This 1028-nucleotide ribosomal RNA is filed under the name Enterobacter sp. ABO27. RNAcentral's name for it is "bacterial SSU rRNA". It matches the Rfam family "Bacterial small subunit ribosomal RNA", at positions 76 to 1083 of the family's 1533-position model. Lineage: Bacteria; Pseudomonadati; Pseudomonadota; Gammaproteobacteria; Enterobacterales; Enterobacteriaceae. The record is from RNAcentral.
GAGCUUGCUCCACCGAAAGAAAAAGAGUGGCGAACGGGUGAGUAACACGUGGGUAACCUGCCCAUCAGAAGGGGAUAACACUUGGAAACAGGUGCUAAUACCGUAUAACACUAUUUUCCGCAUGGAAGAAAGUUGAAAGGCGCUUUUGCGUCACUGAUGGAUGGACCCGCGGUGCAUUAGCUAGUUGGUGAGGUAACGGCUCACCAAGGCAACGAUGCAUAGCCGACCUGAGAGGGUGAUCGGCCACACUGGGACUGAGACACGGCCCAGACUCCUACGGGAGGCAGCAGUAGGGAAUCUUCGGCAAUGGACGAAAGUCUGACCGAGCAACGCCGCGUGAGUGAAGAAGGUUUUCGGAUCGUAAAACUCUGUUGUUAGAGAAGAACAAGGAUGAGAGUAAAAUGUUCAUCCCUUGACGGUAUCUAACCAGAAAGCCACGGCUAACUACGUGCCAGCAGCCGCGGUAAUACGUAGGUGGCAAGCGUUGUCCGGAUUUAUUGGGCGUAAAGCGAGCGCAGGCGGUUUCUUAAGUCUGAUGUGAAAGCCCCCGGCUCAACCGGGGAGGGUCAUUGGAAACUGGGAGACUUGAGUGCAGAAGAGGAGAGUGGAAUUCCAUGUGUAGCGGUGAAAUGCGUAGAUAUAUGGAGGAACACCAGUGGCGAAGGCGGCUCUCUGGUCUGUAACUGACGCUGAGGCUCGAAAGCGUGGGGAGCGAACAGGAUUAGAUACCCUGGUAGUCCACGCCGUAAACGAUGAGUGCUAAGUGUUGGAGGGUUUCCGCCCUUCAGUGCUGCAGCAAACGCAUUAAGCACUCCGCCUGGGGAGUACGACCGCAAGGUUGAAACUCAAAGGAAUUGACGGGGGCCCGCACAAGCGGUGGAGCAUGUGGUUUAAUUCGAAGCAACGCGAAGAACCUUACCAGGUCUUGACAUCCUUUGACCACUCUAGAGAUAGAGCUUCCCCUUCGGGGGCAAAGUGACAGGUGGUGCAUGGUUGUCGUCAGCUCGUGUCGUGAGAUGUUGGGUUAA